Molecule: ribosomal RNA, 253 nt
Filed under: uncultured bacterium
Lineage: Bacteria
Description: partial 16S ribosomal RNA
Rfam family: Bacterial small subunit ribosomal RNA
Source: RNAcentral
GACAGAGGGUGCAAACGUUGCUCGGAAUUACUGGGCGUAAAGGGCUCGUAGGUGGCCAACUAAGUCAGACGUGAAAUCCCUCGGCUUAACCGGGGAACUGCGUCUGAUACUGGAUGGCUUGAGUUUGGGAGAGGGAUGCGGAAUUCCAGGUGUAGCGGUGAAAUGCGUAGAUAUCUGGAGGAACACCGGUGGCGAAGGCGGCAUCCUGGACCAACACUGACACUGAGGAGCGAAAGCCAGGGGAGCAAACGGG